UUCCUCCGCGUCAGCAGCAAGUUACCUGUUCUUCGCGCGUCGCCCCAUAAAACCACACUUCCCAGAAGGCUGCGCGUUCACGCGCGCUUUGGGGGCCCCGCGAGAAAGCCGAAGCAUGCCACCGUCUGUACCCUUUGCUGCGGAGCUGCUCCGCUAGGACGCGCGCACCGAGUGUGGAGAGGACAGCGUGACGGCCCUCUGCGUGCUUCUUAAGUACAGUGGCGCGCGAAGCACAAAACUCCCCUUCCCAGAAAAUGAUGCGGCCGUGGAAAGUCCUCCCGUUCGCGGUUCGGCCCGCGCGACCGCCCUCCUGCCCGGAGGUGGGCAGCCUUGCUGGUGCCUGCGGAGAGCUGCGGUCUACAGUGGAAGGUCUCAAGUGAAAUCCUGGGCUGCUCUGGCCCGCUCGGGUGGGUUCUGAGUGUCUGGCGCCGGCUUGCCCAGGUCCUCGAAGGACUCAGAAACGGCGGCCUCUUUAAGCGCUUUAAGGAAAAAGGCCUUCAGUCCUGGAACCCAUAGAGCCUGACCCACUACUGUCCCCAGAAUCGCUGUCCUUGACCACCACCCCCAAGGCCCGCUGGUGGUAGACAUCCUAUUUGUUAGAGAGAGUACAAGUAGGGAGAGCGGCAGGCAGAAGGAGAAGCAGGCUCGCCACUGAGCAAGGAGCCCCAUGCGCUCCAUCCAGGGACGCUGGGAUCAAGAGCCGAAAGCAGAUGCUUAACCCACUGAGCUUCCCAGGCGCCCGUGUUCAUUUCAUUUUAAUUAUGUUUAUUUUUAAAUUGUAGUGUGACUAUGAAUUUUCUUGUAUAUGUCAAGUACUUAAGUGCAUAAAAUUCAUUCGACAAUGCUUCCAGCUUGGUAUAUAUCUUGUGGCUGUGGUAUUUAAUUCCUGUAGCAAGAGUAGUUGGUAAAAACCCUGGCAUCAACUAGAUACUCCUCAAGGCUUACAGAAGGUAACAAGAUUUGCCAGUGCAAAGUAUUUUCCCCUCCCUGUCUUCAUUAUACAAUGACAAAUUGUUUUCCAAAAUUGUACCAAUUUGCACUCUUGCCAUGGUUUUGUUUUUGUUUUUGUUUUUUUUUAAGAUUUUAUUUAUUUGGGGCGCCUGGGUG
Lutra lutra (Eurasian river otter) is the source of this 1107-nucleotide long non-coding RNA. RefSeq lists it as uncharacterized. The record is from RefSeq and is a predicted model, not a curated record. NCBI's taxonomy places the organism in Eukaryota, Metazoa, Chordata, Mammalia, Carnivora, Mustelidae. The transcript is spliced from 3 exons.